ACCACCAGGGCACUACUCAUUUCUCCAGCUCUGAUCUGCUGUUGUACCAGGGGUCUAAUCGGGCCUGUGUCUGCCUCCUUCUUGAAUAGCCCAGAGAAUUCAUCUAAACAGCUUCCUACAGCAACUCCCUACUCCAGGGGCCAGACAGAAGUUCCAGACCAGUGUUGUCUCUGGGGACAUUGACACAGCAGCCAAGUUGAUUGGUGCUGGGGCAGCCACAGUUGGUGUGGCUGGUUCAGGGGCUGACAUUGGAACUGUGUUUGGCAGCUAGAUCAUUGGCUAUGCCAGGAACCCACCUCUCAAGCAGCAGCUCUUCUCCUAUGCCAUUCUGGGCUUUGCCUUGUCUGAGGCCACGGGGCUGUUCCGUUUGAUGGUUACCUUCCUCAUCCUCUUCGCCAUG
This 400-nucleotide long non-coding RNA is filed under the name Homo sapiens (human). RNAcentral describes it as "non-protein coding lnc-TACR2-3:1". Lineage: Eukaryota; Metazoa; Chordata; Mammalia; Primates; Hominidae. The record is from RNAcentral.